UGUGGUUACAUCACAGAAAAAAAAAUUAAAAUAUGUUCACGAAAAACUUAAUUGACUAAAUCACAUGUAGAUGGCGC
Molecule: long non-coding RNA, 77 nt
Organism: Maniola jurtina (meadow brown)
Lineage: Eukaryota; Metazoa; Arthropoda; Insecta; Lepidoptera; Nymphalidae
Exons: 3
Source: RefSeq, a predicted model, not a curated record